Molecule: transfer RNA, 106 nt
Filed under: Paenibacillus sp. ISL-20
Lineage: Bacteria; Bacillati; Bacillota; Bacilli; Caryophanales; Paenibacillaceae
Also listed under: 1 other name
Description: tRNA-OTHER
Rfam family: tRNA
About the family: Transfer RNA (tRNA) molecules are approximately 80 nucleotides in length. Their secondary structure includes four short double-helical elements and three loops (D, anti-codon, and T loops). Further hydrogen bonds mediate the characteristic L-shaped molecular structure. tRNAs have two regions of fundamental functional importance: the anti-codon, which is responsible for specific mRNA codon recognition, and the 3' end, to which the tRNAs corresponding amino acid is attached (by aminoacyl-tRNA synthetases). tRNAs cope with the degeneracy of the genetic code in two manners: having more than one tRNA (with a specific anti-codon) for a particular amino acid; and 'wobble' base-pairing, i.e. permitting non-standard base-pairing at the 3rd anti-codon position.
Source: RNAcentral
GAGGGCGUAGCUCAGUGGUAGAGCACCCUCCUUGGAAAAGACCUAAUUUAAUUUAGAUCUUUUCCAAGAGGGGUUAUCAGCGCGGGUUCGAAUCCUGUCGCCCUCC